RNAcentral lists this small RNA (542 nucleotides) under Pongo abelii (Sumatran orangutan). RNAcentral's name for it is "retained intron". Lineage: Eukaryota; Metazoa; Chordata; Mammalia; Primates; Hominidae. The record is from RNAcentral.
UAGGCAAAUUCCUUAAUCUCUAAACCUCUGUAAUCUGGAUUUUAAGGGUUAUUGAGAGGAUUCAAUGAGUUAGUCCUUGUAAUGUGCGUCUGUUCUGGAUUUCUGGGACAAGAGUCUAAUUAACUGUCUUAGUCCCCUUAGCUCAGAAAGGUGUUAGGCAUUUUUGAGAGCAUUCCCCGAGUUUCACAGCUGCAACCUCCUCCACCUCCCCUUUCAGCGGUGACUUCCACAGUAAAGCAAGCCCUACAGGAGUCCCUGGUGCAGAUUCUGCAGCCACAGCGUCGUGUAGACAUGCUCCGGGACAUCAUGGAUGCCCAGCGUCGCCAGCGCCCUUAUGUUGUCACCUUCUGCGGCGUUAAUGGAGUGGGGAAAUCUACCAAUCUUGCCAAGAUUUCCUUCUGGUUGUUAGAGAAUGGCUUCAGUGUCCUCAUUGCUGCCUGUGAUACAUUUCGUGCCGGGGCUGUGGAGCAGCUGCGUACACACACCCGGCGUCUGAGUGCCCUACACCCUCCAGAGAAGCAUGGUGGCCGUACCAUGGUGCA